Long non-coding RNA from Eubalaena glacialis (North Atlantic right whale), 181 nucleotides. RefSeq lists it as uncharacterized. The record is from RefSeq and is a predicted model, not a curated record. The transcript is spliced from 3 exons. Lineage: Eukaryota; Metazoa; Chordata; Mammalia; Artiodactyla; Balaenidae.
CUGAGGUUAAAUGAAACAUCCGCUUUGCUUUCCUCUACCAAUGGGCUACAGAGAGGAUUUGAGCAUCUACAGAGCAUCGGUAGAAGUUGACAGAGACUGACCGUCAUGUAAUACUGGUGAACUGAAAUACCUGUCCUGACAGUGGGACCAGGGCAAGCAUGGAUGGUGCUAUUAUUGGACA